CGCUAACUGAGAUCAGCCUCCUGUCACCCAGAGUCACCCAGAGCCAGCUCUCCUGGCCCACCUGAGCAUGCCCCUGACGAGCCUGCCUGUCCCGCCUGAGCAUGCUGCUGCAGCUGGAAGGAGCAACAUGGGUUCAGUCCCAGAGCUUGGUGGCUGGCCGAUAUGAAACACUCUCCUGGCCAGGAACUGGGACCGCUACGUCGCCCUGCAGACUCAGAGCAGUGAGGCCGCGAGCAGCUCUGGGGAGGGCUGGGGAUCCUGGUGGGCAGUAAGACACCUGCACCAUCUCUUAAGGUCUGGCCUCACCUCCCUAGGAAGCCUCACUGAUUCACCCAUCUGGGCACCUGUUCCACUUCUCAGUCAAGACCUGGGUUUUGACAAGUCCAGGCAGAACAUGAAGAUACAGUCCAAACUUAUGGACCAUAUGAAUAAAGAAGCUACCAGAAUGAAAGUCAACAAAAGCACAAGCAGCUGCAGACUUCAAAGACUUCAAAGAACUUCAAGAAAUGAACAGAUCUAGAUUAUUACAAAAGGCCUGCAAAGCUGCUGUUGAAUUGAAUUAACACACCAAUGACCAAAUCCUUACCCAGCGGACCAAUUCCUUUUGGUGCAGUAUAAAUGUACUGUUCUUCAGUGGUGAGGAGAAAAGGCCACCUGGAAUCUCCCUAAAACCCCUCCCAUACUCCAGGCCUGGAGCUGAAACCCUGAGGUGGCAGAGACCCAGCUUUUGGCCAUGCAGCUCUGUCAGCACAGCAUACGGAACAGCAGAACAAGACAGAAGGGACACAGGCCUGAGUGAUUUAACAAUGAGCCACUCCACCAGAUUGGGCCACCUUCCUCCCUUUGGACUGUAAUGUGAGAAGGAAAGAAACAAGUAUCUUAUUUAAUCCACUCCUUCUCACAGCAGAUUCUACUACUGUCAAAUUUGUGGAGAAAAAUGCCAUAACCAGUUGGGAUGGUAUCACCAUAAAUUCCUUGUCUCCAACCUCAGCUGAGUUCCAUUUUCACUUGAUCUUGGUCAGAUCCCUUGCAAAUUUCUCUAAGCAAAGGCUUCAAACUCUCAUGUUGAUCAGGCCUCUACCCAAACCCUUUCAGCCAGUAAUACUGUCUCUCAUGGCACUACACAGGUUGAGACCACCAAGUAGGGUCUCCCACCACGUCCCACCUGCCCCUGAAAUCUUCUCCCCUUAUCCCAGUAUGUAGGUGCCCUUCUCUCUUCUCUGGUCAGACUCCUUCGAUUAAAAUCACAGCUCCACCAUGGGCUGCCCAUCUUGGCCCCGUUUCCUCAACUCUAAAAUGGAGAUGAUGACAGUAAUACUCAACAGGAUUGUGAGGAUAUGAGAUGAUGCAUUCAAAGUGACAGCACAGUGCCUGAUAAACAGUAAGCAGUGGCCACAUGCCACUAACAUUGCAAAAAUAAGUGUGCCCACAUCACUACCUGAUAGAAACCCUUCACUCAUUUCCAAAACCUACAGAACAAAAUCUAAACCUUUUGAUAUGUUAGGCCCUUCAUGACAUAUCUAUUCCCCUUGACUCUUCUCUCUUGCCAUUCUGCUUUGAACACUGUGCUUCAACAAUUCGACCCACAGAUCUAAAAAAUAAAGGCAGUGGUCAGUCAUUCAACAAAUACAUACUAAAAUACACAAUUUUGGCAUUUUAGUGACUAUGCCAAUAAAGUCCCCUUCUGGAAAAGAAUACCCACCUCCCUAAAAAUCACCAACAUGAGAAAGAGCCUACUUUUCAUUUUGUGUCUGGGAAGUGGCACUGAAUUCAGUUUUCUCCUUUGUAAACUGACCUUCCUUUCAGCUAUAAAAUGUGAUGCAAUGCUAAGGUGGCUGUGAGGGAAAAAGCAAUCUUUAUAGUUUAUUUUAAGUCUUAGUAUGUUGUUUAAAUUUACUUGAAAUGUCACUUCCUGUGGAAAAGUAAUGAAGUUCCUUUUAAGAGGGACUUAUGAUACAUAAGGCAGACAGUGAGGCGGGCCACCAAGAGAUGCUAAAGAAUGGGAAGAGGUCCAAAGUGGCCAGAGAGGGCGGAGGAGACAGGGGAAGGCCCUCAGGGUGGAGUCAGUUCCAGAUUUCCGCAAGGCCUGGCAGCACCAGGCUGCAGCCCCCGUCUCUUCCUCUUCCUGACUUCCCAGAAGAGGCACAAAGGGCUGUAGGGAGUACUUACCACUAGACAAGAGUCAGCUUAGGUGGCCAAGCAUACCCGUCAGGUCAAAUAAAUGCCCUUGUCAGCUAAGUCAUCUGUGGGUCUUUCUCGUGGGGGAGGGGGGUUGGGGAGGAAAGGCCGGAGGGACACAGCCUAGAGAUUCCAACACAAAGGCUAAAACACCGGUUUAUCAAGACACUGUACUUCCCGAUGAGGAGAUGAUGGUCAAAUCAAACCCAUUCUGGCCUGAGCAAAGUCAGAGUUAGAGGAAUUUUAUUCAAAUUAUUAACUCUAGUGCUUUUCUGGAGCCAGAACCUAUGGGCAAUUCCUCCUCAAGUGCACAAGAGUUCAGCGUAUCCUGUUCUCCAGGUUAUAUGAACAACUUUUAGGCAUUCCUUAGAUGUAUAUUAAGUGGUGCGGUGGCCAAAUAGUUCCAAUUAAAAAAUCAAUAAAAUUUUAUAUGAAUGCAAAUAAUCUAAAGACACAUAAAUUUAG
Manis pentadactyla (Chinese pangolin) is the source of this 2643-nucleotide long non-coding RNA. RefSeq lists it as uncharacterized. The record is from RefSeq and is a predicted model, not a curated record. The transcript is spliced from 4 exons. NCBI's taxonomy places the organism in Eukaryota, Metazoa, Chordata, Mammalia, Pholidota, Manidae.